CUACAACACAAUGUUCAUGGCACAGGACACGUUACAUAAGCAAACAUUAUUGUUUCAACCCAUAAGGAAACAUUAUCGUUUCAACCCAUCAGUACACAUCACUAGAAUAAAACAAAGUCAUGCCACAAUCACUCUACUUGUUCUCCCUGUCCCAGUUGAAUUGGAUCCAAUUCAGUCGGCCCUCUUUCGUUUUCAUCUUCGUGAAGGCCCUCCGAUACAUUGCGUUCCUACAUAAAUAAAGUGCCUGG
This 248-nucleotide long non-coding RNA is filed under the name Setaria viridis. RNAcentral's name for it is "long non-coding RNA (SVIR_LNC000104)". The record is from RNAcentral. Lineage: Eukaryota; Viridiplantae; Streptophyta; Magnoliopsida; Poales; Poaceae.